RNAcentral lists this ribosomal RNA (496 nucleotides) under uncultured Acidobacterium sp. Its description in RNAcentral is "bacterial SSU rRNA". It matches the Rfam family "Bacterial small subunit ribosomal RNA", at positions 336 to 823 of the family's 1533-position model. Lineage: Bacteria; Pseudomonadati; Acidobacteriota; Terriglobia; Terriglobales; Acidobacteriaceae. The record is from RNAcentral.
CUCCUACGGGAGGCCGCAGGGGGGAAUUGUUCACAAAGGGCGCACGCGGGAUGACACCACGCCGCGGGGAGGAAGAAUGUUUUCGGAUUGUAUUCUCUUGUUACCCGCGACUUAGGGACUGCAGCUUAGACAGGGGGGAGUCAGACGGUCCCUACAGAGGAAGCCCCGCCUAACUAUGUGCCAGCAGCCGCGGUAAUACAUAGGGGGCAAGCGUUGUUUGGAAUUAUUGGGUGUAAAGGCAGGGUAGGCGGCCGGUUAAGUCGAACGUGAAAUCCCUGAGCUCAACUCGGGAAGAACGUCCGAAACUGGCUGGCUAGAAUGCGGGAGAGGGAGGAGGAAUUCCAGGUGUAGCGGUGAAAUGAGUAGAUAUAGGGAGGAACACCGGUGGGGAAGGAGGCAUCCUGUACCGCCAUUGACGGUGAGGCGGGAAAGAUAGGGGAGCAAACGGGAUUAGAUACCCCGGUAGUCCUAGCCCCCAAAACAGAAGGGAAAAUGG